RNAcentral lists this transfer RNA (71 nucleotides) under Aedes aegypti (yellow fever mosquito). It matches the Rfam family "tRNA". From Rfam's summary of the family: Transfer RNA (tRNA) molecules are approximately 80 nucleotides in length. Their secondary structure includes four short double-helical elements and three loops (D, anti-codon, and T loops). Further hydrogen bonds mediate the characteristic L-shaped molecular structure. tRNAs have two regions of fundamental functional importance: the anti-codon, which is responsible for specific mRNA codon recognition, and the 3' end, to which the tRNAs corresponding amino acid is attached (by aminoacyl-tRNA synthetases). tRNAs cope with the degeneracy of the genetic code in two manners: having more than one tRNA (with a specific anti-codon) for a particular amino acid; and 'wobble' base-pairing, i.e. permitting non-standard base-pairing at the 3rd anti-codon position. Lineage: Eukaryota; Metazoa; Arthropoda; Insecta; Diptera; Culicidae. The record is from Rfam by way of RNAcentral.
GACUUGGUAGCUAAUUUGGCAAAGCACUUGUCUAGCAUACAGGAGCCGUGGGUUCGAAUCCCAACUGAGCA